UACAGAGAGUGCAAACGUUGUUCGGAAUUACUGGGCUUAAAGCGCACGUAGGUGGCAUCGUAAGUGUCAGGUGAAAUCCCACGGCUCACCCGUGGAACUGCCUGGCAUACUGCGAUGCUCGAGUGUGGUAGGGGAGAGCGGAACUCUUGGUGGAGCGGUGAAAUGCGUAGAUAUCAAGAGGAACACCGGUGGCGAAGGCGGCUCUCUGGUCCACAACUGACACUGAGGUGCGAAAGCUAGGGGAGCAAAC
RNAcentral lists this ribosomal RNA (250 nucleotides) under uncultured bacterium. Its description in RNAcentral is "partial 16S ribosomal RNA". It matches the Rfam family "Bacterial small subunit ribosomal RNA", at positions 524 to 773 of the family's 1533-position model. The record is from RNAcentral.